RNAcentral lists this non-coding RNA (76 nucleotides) under Roseburia sp. CAG:45. RNAcentral describes it as "c-di-GMP-I riboswitch aptamer". It matches the Rfam family "c-di-GMP-I riboswitch aptamer". Rfam says of the family: GEMM was predicted in a large-scale screen for bacterial structured RNA regulatory elements. Genes associated with GEMM are involved in a diverse array of functions, including chemotaxis regulation, signal transduction, secretion and chitin. The record is from Rfam by way of RNAcentral. Lineage: Bacteria; Bacillati; Bacillota; Clostridia; Lachnospirales; Lachnospiraceae. RNAcentral also lists the same sequence under 1 other name.
AUUAUGUAUCAGCAAAACAGGUGAAAGCCUGUGACGCAAAGCUAUAGGGUCUUUGAAAUGACAGCCAGUUGCAAGA